RNAcentral lists this ribosomal RNA (252 nucleotides) under uncultured bacterium. RNAcentral describes it as "partial 16S ribosomal RNA". It matches the Rfam family "Bacterial small subunit ribosomal RNA", at positions 524 to 776 of the family's 1533-position model. The record is from RNAcentral.
UACGGGGGAUGCGAGCGUUAUCCGGAUUUAUUGGGUUUAAAGGGUGCGUAGGCGGACUGUCAAGUCAGCGGUAAAAUUGAGAGGCUCAACCUCUUCCCGCCGUUGAAACUGGUGGUCUUGAGUGGAAGAGAAGUAUGCGGAAUGCGUGGUGUAGCGGUGAAAUGCAUAGAUAUCACGCAGAACCCCGAUUGCGAAGGCAGCAUGCCGGCUUCCUACUGACGCUGAAGCACGAAAGCGUGGGGAUCGAACAGG